Molecule: long non-coding RNA, 3397 nt
Filed under: Salmo salar (Atlantic salmon)
Lineage: Eukaryota; Metazoa; Chordata; Actinopteri; Salmoniformes; Salmonidae
Description: lncRNA (ENSSSAG00000100447.1)
Source: RNAcentral
GCUGCUCUUCCUCCCGGGGAAGGACUGCCCGUUCCAUGAUCUCGCCAUCACGGUUGACAACUCCCUUGUGUCCUCCUCCCAGAGUGCUAAGAACCUUGGCGUGAUCCUGGACAACACCCUGUCGUUCUCCACUAACAUCAAGGCGGUGACCCGAUCCUCUCCCGUACGGACUCGGGAGAGGCGACGGUUGAGAGCCAUGCGUCCUCCGAAACACAACCCAACCAAGCCGCACUGCUUCUUAACACAGCGCGCAUCCAACCCGGAAGCCAGCCGCACCAAUGUGUCAGAGGAAACACCAUACACCUAGCAACCUGGUCAGCGUGCACUGCGCCCGGCCCGCCACAGGAGUCGCUAGUGCACGAUGAGACAAGGAUAUCCCUGCCGGCCAAACCCUCCCUAACCCGGACGACGCUAGGCCAAUUGUGCGCCGCCCCAUGGGCCUCCCGGGCGCGGCCGGCUGCGACAGAGCCUGGGCUCAAACCCAGAGUGGCACAGCUACUGCGACCACUGCGCCACCCGGGAUGCCACAAAUGACAUCCCUUUAUGUUAUUUUCAAUUAGAUAUAAUAGACCAUAAUUGAAUAAUUUUGACCCCACCAGACAGUUACAAUACUUAGCAGUAUUUUCUUCAAACCCCUCACUAGUGAAAAUCCAUAAAUCUAUGCAAUAACCAAACCUUAAUUUCAGGCAAGUAGCCUUUUUUUUGCAUUGUUUUGGGUUCUGCUUUGAUUUAGCCUAAGUUAAUGCAUUAUGGAAUUGUAUGGACAAUCCAUAUCUGUUCUUUGUGUGUCCCUUAUGGAAGGUUCUAGUAGUUGAAACGCGUUGCAGUUGUUCGUCCUGAUGUUCUAGGCUGACUGCACCCAUAUGUAUUAUUUUGUAAAUAUAUUCUGUUAAUAGUUAACUAAAGUUUGUCGCAACAUCCCGACCGCCUACUCUUCUUCUUUCUUUGGAUUACCUGCCAUUUAGGAGUAAACCUUCCCACUGCCUUCAUCUCACCUUAUGGUGUGUUGAAAUAAAUAUUAUGUCUAACGUUACUUGUCUAACUUCCCUGGGCUAGGUCCCACCCUAGUCAACAGCCAGUGGAAUCGCGUGGCGCGAAAUAAUGCUAUAACUUCAAUUUCUCAAACAUAUGACUAUUUUACACCAUUUUAAAGACAAGACUCUCGUUAAUCUAACCACAUUGUCCGAUUUCAAAAAGGCUUUACAGCGAAAGCAAAACAUUAGAUUAUGUCAGGAGAGUACCCUGCCAAAAAUAAUCACACAGCCAUUUUCAAAGCAAGCAUAUAUGUCACAAAAACCAAAACCACAGCUAAAUGCAGCACUAACCUUUGAUGAUCUUCAUCAGAUGACACUCCUAGGACAUUAUGUUAUACAAUACAUGCAUGUUUUGUUCAAUCAUGUUCAUAUUUAUAUCAAAAACCAGCUUUUUACAUUAGCAUGUGAUGUUCAGAACAAGCAUACCCACCGAAAACUUCCGGUGAAUUUACUAAAUUACUCAUGAUAAACAUUGACAAAAUGCAUAACAAUUAUUUUAAGAAUUAUAGAUACAGAACUCCUUUAUGCAAACGCUAUGUCAGAUUUUAAAAUGGCUUUUCGGCGAAAGCACAUUUUGCAAUAUUCUGAGUACAUAGCUCGGCCAUCACGGCUAGCUAUUUUGACACCCACCAAGUUUGGGACUCACUAAACUCAGAAUUACUAUUAGAAAAAUUGGAUUACCUUUGCUGUUCUUCGUCAGAAUGCACUCCCAGGACUUCUACUUCAACAACAAAUGUUGUUUUGGUUCGAAAUAAUCCAUAGUUAUAUUCAAAUCGCUCUGUUUUGUUCGUGCGUUCAGGUCACUAUCCGAAGGGUGAUGCGCAUUUCGUGACAAAAGAUUUCAAAAUAUUCCAUUACCGUACUUAGAAGCAUGUCAAACGCUGUUUAAAAUCAAUUUUUAUGCGAUUUUUCUCGUAAAAUAGCGAUAAUAUUCCAACCGGGCAACGUUGUAUUCAUUCAAAGGCUGAAAGAAAAAAAUGGAGAAUUCUCGUGAACGCGCAUCUCCAGUGUCACUGUCCCCAGGCUGACCACUCACAAAUUCUCCUGCUGUUCUUCGCCCAGAGACAGCAGACACCCCAUUCCACUUUCUGGCGGCUUUAGAGAGCCAAUGAGAGCCUUAGAAAGUGUCACGUUACAGCACAUAUGCUGUAUUUUCGAUAGAGAUGCAACAGAAGGACAACAAAUUGUCAGACAGGGCACUUCCUGUAUGGAAUCUUCUCAGGUUUUGGCCUGCCAUAUGAUUUCUGUUAUACUCACAGAAACCAUUCAAACAGUUUUAGAAACUUCAGAGUGUUUUCUAUCCAAAUAUACUAAUAAUAUGCAAAUAUUUGACUCUGGGCCCGAGUAGCAGGCAGUUUACUCUGGGCACGCUUUUCAUCCGAACGUCAAAAUACUGCCCCUUAUCCCAAACAGGUUAAAGUUGGUUGCCAACCGCCAUAUAAAAUCCUCAGAAGAAGAAGAAGGUGGAAAGGUGAUACCCUGGUGCCAUGGUAAUAAUAAAUCAUGGUGUAUAGUUUAUUCAGUGAUGUACAGGACUGGACUUUGAAAUGUUUGUAAUUCCAGUUACAUGAUUGAAGCUUAAAAUAUGUCUAUAAUUGAAGUUAGCCUAUUUGAUUGAAGCUUGAGCUUUUUAAUGAACUGUGAAAUUAUUGACGCUGGAGACAUGUAUUUUGAUAAUUAAAUAGUCUUGUUUGAAAAGCAUUUGUCAUGGUAUUCUUCUCAGGUAGAACAGUAUAUCAAUCUAUUGUACAUCACAGAAAUACAGGGUUCUCCCUUAAGCAUUACAGUGGCUGUGUACAUUGAGGGUUAGACAAAUGGAUAAAUGCUUACAAUAAACAAUUCUUCAUUCAUUCCCAUAUAGUGGAAGUGGGUAGGGCCACAAGAUAAGUGUUCUUUAAAAAAGUAGCCCUUGGAAAGUUGAGUACAGCACAUACAAACCACAGCUGGUUAACUGAACUGGCGAGUGUCAGGGGGAUCACGCUAUCAAAUAUGUCUUCUAAGCCUGGCAAUCAGCUUUCAGGGUGUCAGUCUUUAACCCCAGUGUACAACAUGAUGAACCUGGGAUCACACUGGAAACUGAAUGGUUGACUUCUUCGUGAGUCAUUCUCCUUUGCCAGCCAAUCUAUUUCAUCACGCACUGCCUCCAGCUGCUCUUCUGUAGGAAGGGGCUUCUGUGUAAUCAUGCUUUGGGAAUAGCAGCUCUGCAACCUGGUUGGAACUGAAGAUAAGCUGUCACGAUAUUUGUGAACUUGUAUUUUCUGGUAAUGUAAAAGAAGUGGGGAUAAUGUAGGAUAAUUAGCCUAAUAUUAUAACAGAGAUCGGCAGGUGUAAAAUAGUUUACCAUUUUUUAAAUGUCAGUCAAU